RNAcentral lists this ribosomal RNA (200 nucleotides) under uncultured Streptococcus sp. Its description in RNAcentral is "partial 16S ribosomal RNA". It matches the Rfam family "Bacterial small subunit ribosomal RNA", at positions 1183 to 1381 of the family's 1533-position model. Lineage: Bacteria; Bacillati; Bacillota; Bacilli; Lactobacillales; Streptococcaceae. The record is from RNAcentral.
CGUCAAAUCAUCAUGCCCCUUAUGACCUGGGCUACACACGUGCUACAAUGGUUGGUACAACGAGUUGCGAGUCGGUGACGGCGAGCUAAUCUCUUAAAGCCAAUCUCAGUUCGGAUUGUAGGCUGCAACUCGCCUACAUGAAGUCGGAAUCGCUAGUAAUCGCGGAUCAGCACGCCGCGGUGAACUACGUUCCUGGCCUU